Molecule: ribosomal RNA, 253 nt
Filed under: uncultured bacterium
Lineage: Bacteria
Description: partial 16S ribosomal RNA
Rfam family: Bacterial small subunit ribosomal RNA
Source: RNAcentral
UACGUAGGGGGCAAGCGUUGUCCGGAUUUAUUGGGCGUAAAGAGCGUGUAGGCGGUCUGGUAGGUCCGUUGUGAAAACUCGAGGCUCAACCUCGAGACGCCGAUGGAAACCCUCAGACUAGAGUCCGGAAGAGGAGAGUGGAAUUCCUGGUGUAGCGGUGAAAUGCGCAGAUAUCAGGAAGAACACCCGUGGCUAAGGCGACUCUCUAGUACGGUACUGACGCUGAGACGCGAAAGCGUGGGGAGCGAACAGG